Molecule: ribosomal RNA, 253 nt
Filed under: uncultured bacterium
Lineage: Bacteria
Description: partial 16S ribosomal RNA
Rfam family: Bacterial small subunit ribosomal RNA
Source: RNAcentral
UACGGGGGGUGCAAGCGUUAAUCGGAAUUACUGGGCGUAAAGGGUGUGUAGGUUGUUGUGUAAGUUAUGUGUGAAAGCCCUGGGCUCAACCUGGGAUAGUCAGAUAAUACUGCACGACUUGAGUAUAGGAGAGGGUAGUGGAAUUUCCGGUGUAGCGGUGAAAUGCGUAGAGAUCGGAAGGAACACCAGUGGCGAAGGCGGCUACCUGGCCUGAUACUGACACUGAGACACGAAAGCGUGGGGAGCAAACAGG